Molecule: unclassified non-coding RNA, 294 nt
Filed under: uncultured fungus
Lineage: Eukaryota; Fungi
Description: sequence contains ITS1
Source: RNAcentral
GUGGACUACUGGGGUUUCUAAUCCUGUUUGCUCCCCAUGCUUUCGUACCUCAGUGUCAGUAUUAGGCCAGAUGGCUGCCUUCGCCAUCGGUAUUCCUCCAGAUCUCUACGCAUUUCACCGCUACACCUGGAAUUCUACCAUCCUCUCCCAUACUCUAGUCUCCCAGUAUCGAAUGCAAUUCCUAAGUUAAGCUCAGGGAUUUCACAUCCGACUUAAAAGACCACCUACGCACGCUUUACGCCCAGUAAAUCCGAUUAACGCUUGCACCCUCUGUAUUACCGCGGCGGCUGGCAC